AUAUAUGUUUAGUUAAUAAUGUAACUUGCCAAAAACCCAUCUUUCUUAAACUCAAACUCAGCAUCGAUAUCUUGUUCUUGGUUGGUUCCUUAAUUAUUAUCUGGAUUUAUUAGCUUCAUUAGAUUUUCUUCUUAGAGAUGGAUUCUAUAAUAAAGACAUGGUUGGUGUUUCCUAUUCUUCUCUUGUCUGCAAACUAUUUGCAGCAAUCUGUCAAUGGGAAAUCCCAAGUUCCUUGUCUUUUUAUCUUUGGAGAUUCUUUCAAUCUUCCUACCUAUGCAAAAUGUAAUUACAAACCUUAUGCAACGGUCGAACUGCAAUUGACAUAAUAACUCAGCUUCUUGUUUUGAGAACUUCAUUCUACCAUUUGCAAACAUUAGUGGUUCAGACAUACUCUAAGGUGUGAACUAUGCAUCUCGUGGAGCUGGAAUUCGUGUCGAGACAAGCAUGACUAUGGCAUAAAUAAAAUUAUAAACCAAAGAGUCUUUUUCUUUUUUACAGGAAAAUCAAAGAGCCUUCUUCAUUUCUUUGAUUGUUCAUCUUUAUCUGCAAUUAGUUUUUAGUAGAGGACUAGAAUAUUUUUGUUACACUGCUUAUAUACAUGUCACCAAAAUAACAUUACGUCUGUACAGGGUUCUGUUAUCAGCUUGGGAUUACAGUUAAAGAAUCACAAAGUAAUAGUUUCUCAAAUUGCUAGCAGACUUGGAGGGUUUUUGGUUUCAAACGCUCCUUGUUGUCCACCGAGGUUGAUUGGAAGGUGUUAUGCUAAUGAAAGGCCAUGCUAUAAUAGGAGUGAUUAUUUUUUUUGGGAUGAAGUCCAUCCCACUGAGGCAUAUAACCAACUCACUGCAACAAGGUCUUAUUAUGAUUCAUAUAAUUCAGGAUUCACAUAUCCAAUGGAUAUUAAAAACCUUGUUGAACAAAAAACUAAGAUGGAAUUGGAGUCCAUAAAUGAGAGCACAUCAAAGCUUAGUGCCUCAAGUUAAAUAGGUUCAAGUUAUUUGUAUACAUUCAUUCUUUUCCUACCUACAUUUGAAGCAAUCUUUUCAUAUCAAAUAGCAUUAUUAUAAACUAGAAUAAAAUCAAAUUAGUGUAAUUGGUUCUCUCGCCUUAAGUUUGAUUUGAUUUGUGUUUGAUAAGUUAUUUGAUGAAUUUAAGUGUGUAUCCGACCGAUGAUGUGCUCAAGGAAAUGCAAACAUUGACUCGGUUUGUUAAUAGUCUUUGUCUGAUGUUGGAAAAUGGAAGUGAGUGCAGAAUGAAAAUCAAAAUGGGUUUUAUACUGCAAACUAAACUUCAUUGAAUAUUCUUCAGUACAUGUAUUUGAUUCAGCAACGCAACUCUUCUAGAUUCUUCCUUAAACUUGAUGAUACAUUUCAAAUACGAAUGCCAAGCGAGGUAUGAAAGUACAGAAUAGAAAUAUGGUCUUUUAGUCCCACAUUGUCAGCAAUUUGUUCUAUGUACGAUGACAUGUGAAGAAGAACCAUCAGCAAAUGUAUUUGCUUGAUGGAAAAUGCUGGAUAAAGCGAAAAAUCAUCUCACAAUGUUUCACGACAUGAUGUAGCAGUUUGCAACUAGCUUAUUAUCACCCAUACCGCCAUGAUUUCCGCCAAAGUCAAGGUAAAUCGGUUUUUGAUUUUUAUAUGACCAGAUCGUGUGCUUUGCGAUCCAGUUCGUGAAUAGAAAUUUUCUUGAUAUAGUAUUGUUGCUGCACGAUAGUGUCUAUAAUGAUCCCAAUCACACUGUUCCGGUGCUGGUCACCAAAACUGCCAACCUUUGAUCAUCUAUCAGACAAUCACCGAGCCUAUUUGAAUUUGUUCUUAACACAUUUCAUGGUGAGUACAUUAUUGCUCAAGAAGGAAUAUAAAGUGGCACCCUUAAUUUGGCUAAGGCUCUACAUGACAUUGGAGCAAGAAAAUAUGUGUUAGUUGGGUUGGAACUUUCAGGCAGCACUCCGUUACUUUUAAUUUCCAAGCUUAAAUCUCUAGUGGAACAUUUCAAUAAUAAGUUCUCUGCUGAUUCUAAAUUCAUAUUUAUAAACUUUACAUUAGAGUCAGAUGGUUUUUUGGUUUAAAAUGCUUCUUGUUGUCCAUCAAGGUUGGAUGGACUGUGCAUUCGUGAUGAAAGGCCAUGCUAUAAUAGGAGUGAAUAUGUGUCUUGGGAUGCAGUUCAUCCCACUGAGGCUUGGAGCCUACUCAUUGCAACAAGAAUGUACGAUUCAUCUACUAAUUCAGGGUUCACUUAUCCAAUGGAUAUUAAACACCUUGUUGCACAAGAAAUUGAGAUGGAAUUGGAUUUCACUUCACAGCUUAGUGCCUCUAGUUAAACAUGUUCAAGUUAUUUGUAUGCGUUCAUUCUUGUCCUACCUACAUUUGAUACCAUAUUUUCAUAUCAAAUGACAUUAUUGUAAACUAGAAUUAAGUCAAAUAAGUGUAAUUGGUUCUGCCGCCUUACAUUUGA
Medicago truncatula (barrel medic) is the source of this 2454-nucleotide RNA transcript. RefSeq lists it as uncharacterized. Lineage: Eukaryota; Viridiplantae; Streptophyta; Magnoliopsida; Fabales; Fabaceae. The record is from RefSeq and is a predicted model, not a curated record. The transcript is spliced from 5 exons.